RNAcentral lists this transfer-messenger RNA (353 nucleotides) under bacterium. It matches the Rfam family "transfer-messenger RNA". Rfam says of the family: Bacterial tmRNA, also known as 10Sa RNA or SsrA, is named for its dual tRNA and mRNA-like properties. The record is from RNAcentral.
GGGCUUGUACCGGUUUCGACGGGGGUUUGGAAAUUAGGAUAGCCAUCUGUGAUUCGGUAUCACAUAAAACAACCGAAACUUAAAAUUAAACGCAAACGAUAGAUAUUCGUUAGCAGCAGCCUAGUCUGCCGCUUGUCGGCCUUAGAUAACUCGCGAUCUGAGAAUCCGGCAUCAAAUGAGCGAGGCACUUUGUCUCCAAAGCUUUGAGGGGAUAAAAGAACUUAUGAAGCUACUGAAGUACAGAGCCUGUCAUCCGGCGCUGCACAGAGGGAAUGUCAAAUGAAUGACUGUGAUGGGAGAAUUCUUAAUGAAAGGGCUUUCGGACGCGGGUUCAACUCCCGCCAGGUCCAUCU